Hyla sarda is the source of this 370-nucleotide long non-coding RNA. RefSeq lists it as uncharacterized. The transcript is spliced from 3 exons. The record is from RefSeq and is a predicted model, not a curated record. NCBI's taxonomy places the organism in Eukaryota, Metazoa, Chordata, Amphibia, Anura, Hylidae.
UGUGACCGGCAGCAGGGGGAACACAAACCAGGUGACACAACAACGUCCUCACUUCCGGCGGCCCCGCAUGCCCCACUUCCGGCAGUCUCUCGGACCUGUUUCCGGCAGUCCCGUCGGUAGAAACAAUCUCAUUGGCCAGGAACCUGCUGUCUCCUUCCUCCACUUGUGGGUUUGUUAUAGAAGUCACAUGACCGAGAUCACCUGAAACCAAGACGAGAAGUACCUAAAACCUACAUUCUCCAGACUGAGCACCAUCUCGAGCAGGACAUUUGCGAUGUCGGUGCGGCAUCCUCCGGUCCGGGUGGAGCGCGGUACCAGAGCAGUCUAUCAUUCGUUUCAGAAGCCCCGAUGAGCUGACAAGCAAUAUAAU